Paramuricea clavata is the source of this 289-nucleotide non-coding RNA. The record is from the annotation of a GenBank genome assembly. Lineage: Eukaryota; Metazoa; Cnidaria; Anthozoa; Malacalcyonacea; Plexauridae.
UUACCAGGGAAUUGCUCUUUCAACUGUCAACAUCAUAUUAGUUUAAGUCAAAUUCCUGGCAUUUCGAAGCUAAGCUAAUCACAACAAAAAUGUAUUUUUACUCGACCUUGUUGUUUACAUGCUGUGCUGCAUGUUUCAUUUCCGCAAAGGCUUUGCCUUGCUCGAGACUCGAGGGGAAAAUGUCGAGGAUAAGGUUCCCAGAAGCGUUGCCAGUAUUCUACAAUCUUGGACAUAGAGACUCGACAUUCCAGCCAAUAUUGCAAAGUUAGGGACUGAUCAUAAUUUAGCA